GACUCUUGGCAAUGGAUAUCUCGGCUCUCGCAUCGAUGAAUAAUGUAGCAAAAUGCGAUACUUGGGGUGAAUUGUAGAAUCCCGUGAACCAUCGAGUCUUUGAACGCAAGUUGCACCCCAAGCUUUCUGGCCGAGGGCACGUCUGGCUGGGUGUCA
This is a non-coding RNA of Brassica napus (rape), 156 nucleotides long. Lineage: Eukaryota; Viridiplantae; Streptophyta; Magnoliopsida; Brassicales; Brassicaceae. The record is from Rfam.